AAAACUGUCCACCAAUCAACGCCCUCAUGUCUUCCUCCACCUGGCCUGCCAUUGGUGCGUCGCGGGAAGAAGGGAGGCAGCGAAGGUAUAUAAGGCGCGCUGAGGGACACACCCGUCAGAGUGAUCCUGGACUCCAAGGUGACAGGACGUGGAGGAGCGCUGGUCACUGAUCCCUUACUUCGCUUCUAACGUGACGGAAAGGUGUGCUAGGAUGGCCGGGGGCGUCACCUGUACUGGCAGUGAUGGUGGUAGUCAGCGCCGUCGCAAUCCUCCACGCCGCCCAUGGCCUCCCGCAACCAAACCCACGCCCACAAGUGCAGCCACUCCACCCCCUCACCGACCAGCGCCUCUACCUCAUCACCCUGGGAGAAAGAACCGGGGAGUGGGGGAACUGACGGGGACGAGACCCUUCAGGAACCCCAACAACCCUUGAGGGAGGUUAGAAAACGGGCUCUUCUCACUCUCCUCGCCGUUAAGCCACGCCCGCACGCCCACUACCCCGCCCGCCAGUACAACGUCCUCCCACAGCCAGAGGGAAGCAAGAGGCCCUACGGUACCCUGCGAUUUGGGAGAUAACUUCACCGCCUACUUCAGGAUACUUCUGCAGGAUAUUCCCUUAUUUAGGACUCCCGGCGAGGUGCUGAUUAUGUCUCUGGCUCCCGGGGGUCCUCGGAAUCUCAUCUCCCCGCUCGUGCAAGGGUACAGUUCUGCUCCUUAAGGAUACAGAAUUAGUAGGAUAUAUUUAUAGUCUCAGGAUUUCUGCGUCUUUUUUUUUUUUUUUGUUGUUCUUUGUUACGUUGUUCAAUUCUUUUCUUUUCUCUUUUUUUUUUUUCCUCCUUCUCUCCUUCUUCUUCUUCUUCCUUCUUUCACGUACUCCUCCAAUGUACAUUCUCUCCUACAUCUCCUUACUCACAUGGGUCUUCUCUUCUCACCCUCCCCACCACCACCACCACCUCCUCCUCCUCUUCUUCCUUCAACAUACGUCUUCCACUCUCUCCUCUUCCUCCUUUUACUCCAAACACUUUUGCUAUUAUCUUUCGUUUCCUCCUCCUCCUCCUCUUCCUCAUGCCUUUCACUCAUUACUCCUCCCCCUCCUCCUCCUUGUCCUCCUCCUCCUCCCCCUCCUCCUCCCCCACGCCCUCCACAGACACGCCUCUCCCUCGUCACUCGUCACCGUCUUGAAUUAUACGAAAAGUUCUCUCUUGAAGGAACGAAGAAAGAAACAGAGAGAAAGAGAGAGAGAAAAAAAAGGAAGAGUGAAGAACUUUUAUUUAUUGUAGUUGUCUACGUAUUUAUUAUUGCUACUGUAACUUAUCUCACAACUUCGAGGACUAACCUAACCUAAUUAACUAAACCUAACCUAACCUAACCAAACCAAACCAAACCUAACUUAACCAAACCAAACCUAACCAAACCAAACCUAACCUAACCUAACCUAACCUAACCAAACCUAACCUAACCUAACCUAACCUAACCUAACCUAACCUAACCAAACCAAACCUAACCUAACCUAACCUAACCUAACCUAACCAAACCAAACCAAACCUAACCUAACCUAACCUAACCUAACCUAACCUAACCUAACCUAACUAAACCUAACCUAACCUAACCUAACCUAACCUAACCUAACUAAACCUAACCUAACCUAACCUAACCAAACCUAACCUCACCUAACUUAACUUGACGUAACCUCACCUAACCUAACCAAAUCACACCUGACCUGACCUGACCUAACCUAACCUCAGCUAACCACACCUCGCCAAACCUCAACUCACCCCACACACACACAACGCUACACAAAACACUUCAUUAUUUAUUUAAAUUGAGGCUGUGAUGGAGACUAAGGAGAGAGACACUCGGGAGAAAAUAAAUAAAUAGAUAAAUAAAAAUAUAUUUGUACAGAAUAACUCAAACCUAAACUACUGUUAUAAUUUCAAACAACCCGGAGGAAAAGAAAUUCUAUUGGUGUGUUAAUUUAAUGAUCUUGUAAGUCAUUCCUUCUACUUUUAUUCUUCACUACUCGAUAAAAUUACCUUGAACCAC
Molecule: long non-coding RNA, 2043 nt
Organism: Scylla paramamosain (green mud crab)
Lineage: Eukaryota; Metazoa; Arthropoda; Malacostraca; Decapoda; Portunidae
Exons: 2
Source: RefSeq, a predicted model, not a curated record